Molecule: non-coding RNA, 268 nt
Organism: Schizosaccharomyces pombe (fission yeast)
Lineage: Eukaryota; Fungi; Ascomycota; Schizosaccharomycetes; Schizosaccharomycetales; Schizosaccharomycetaceae
Source: the annotation of a GenBank genome assembly
CUUUCAACUUCCAUUUCCCCCAAGGGAAUGUCAUUAUUAUCGUUGGCACCUCUAAUCGCUCUCCCUGCACCUUCUAAUCGGGUAAGUAAAGAAUCAUUCAUACAGUUGGUUGAAUACACAUACCUAAUAUAAAAGCUAUACCAUUCCUGAUAGAGUUUCGUGUUCUUAUGAGUGCACCUGGACAUUCUGGCAUGGUUAGAGUAAACUUCAAGAAUAUUUAACGAACCCAUUUCGCAAAGAAAAAGAACAUUGCCCAUAAUAAAUAGCA